RNAcentral lists this ribosomal RNA (253 nucleotides) under uncultured bacterium. Its description in RNAcentral is "partial 16S ribosomal RNA". It matches the Rfam family "Bacterial small subunit ribosomal RNA", at positions 524 to 776 of the family's 1533-position model. The record is from RNAcentral.
UACGUAGGGUGCGAGCGUUGUCCGGAAUUAUUGGGCGUAAAGGGCUCGUAGGCGGUUUGUCGCGUCAGGAGUGAAAACUCGGGGCUUAACCCCGAGCCUGCUUCCGAUACGGGCAGACUAGAGGUAUGCAGGGGAGAACGGAAUUCCUGGUGUAGCGGUGAAAUGCGCAGAUAUCAGGAGGAACACCGGUGGCGAAGGCGGUUCUCUGGGCAUUACCUGACGCUGAGGAGCGAAAGUGUGGGGAGCGAACAGG